RNAcentral lists this long non-coding RNA (938 nucleotides) under Citrus x clementina. RNAcentral describes it as "Citrus clementina (C. clementina) long non-coding RNA (CCLE_LNC000153)". The record is from RNAcentral. Lineage: Eukaryota; Viridiplantae; Streptophyta; Magnoliopsida; Sapindales; Rutaceae.
UUAUAUGAGUUAAGUAUAUCAUCCAGGAAAUUUCAGAAAGUGAAAAAGGACAUUGGCAGAUGCAUUAUUAUAGAUAUUACAGCAGCUAUCACUCAACUGCAUUUUACAUUCGAGAAAUUAGGUACUCACCGCCUACAAGCAAUCAACAAGCGAAUGAACCACUGGGAUGAGCGAGCAUUCCUCUGCAAGUACUAGAAACAAAUAAGACAUAAAAAGAAAUAAUAUUAUAGAGGACUAAUAAGCAGGAGCUUUAUUAAUUUGUAUAGCAAAUAAUCCAUGCAUAUUUUUUUUUAUAAAAUCAGUUGUGUGGGGGAUUGUAGGGUGGCUUGUGUUCUGGUGGCUUGUGUUCUGGGAAUGGCUUCCCUACUUUAGGGUGUUCGAAAACCGGUGGCUUUGGGAAAGGCUUCCCAAUCUUUGGAGGCUCGUAGAUUGGAGGCUUAGGGAAUGGCUUGUCAAUCUUGGGAGGCUUUGGAAAAGGCUUGUCAACCUUCGGAGGCUCGUAAACUGGAGGCUUUGGAAAUGGCUUGUCGAUCUUGGGAGGCUCAUAAACUGGAGGCUUUGGAUAUGGCUUGUCAAUCUUGGGAGGCUUUGGGAAUGGCUUGUCAAUCUUGGGAGGCUUUGGGAAUGGCUUGUCAAUCUUGGGAGGUUUUGGGAGUGGCUUGUCAAUCUUGGGAGGCUUUGGGAAUGGCUUGUCAAUCUUGGGAGGCUUUGGGAAUGGCUUAUCAAUCUUGGGAGGCUUUGGGACAGGCUUGUCAAUCUUGGGAUGUUCGUAAAAUGGUGGCUUAGAGUAAUCAGCAAGAGAUGGAGUGGCGAGAAGUACCACCACCCCAAGGAGCAACACUGGCAAGUAUGUUAGAGACAUCUUGUUCGCUUUGUUUUUCGAUGAUACAAAAUUAGGAACUGGUGCUCUUUUAUAGAGUUCCUGUGACUACGUUGGC